This 674-nucleotide long non-coding RNA is filed under the name Olea europaea subsp. europaea. Lineage: Eukaryota; Viridiplantae; Streptophyta; Magnoliopsida; Lamiales; Oleaceae. The record is from RNAcentral.
CCCAAACUAAAUCUUACAUAUCAAAAACACAAAAAACAUAUCAAUUCUCCAAAGCAAAUUUACAAUUCACAUAUUGACAAAAUCAGAAAUUCAAGAAAGCCUCAAAAAAACCAACAGGUUAUAGAAGCAGACGAAUUCAACCAUUCAAAAAUCACAAAUCACAGGUUUUGAGUUUCAUAAAUUCAUACAUUCCCCGUUCACAAAGGCUGAAAUCAUAAUUAGUCGACCGGAGUCGCUGGUCAGGAAGAAAAAUUUAAAAUUGUUAAUGUACUAACCUUAUUACUAAGAUUAGGGUCUGAACUGCAAUUGGCGAUUUGACUGUGGACUACAGGAAGCAAGUAGCAAUGACGAUAGGAGGGAGCAAGCUGAAUCCUUCGCUGUUUUCCCUUUCCAAUCAUUUGCGAUUUUGCUGAUUGCGAUUUUUCCUUUCCAAUCCUUGAAUCGAUGGCAGGAGGAAGUCAGCGACAGGUUUUUCAGUCAUGUUCCUUUUAAAUUAACAAAUCAAAAAAUUUAAUUGGAUAGCUUGAUUCUAACAGGAUAUAAAUUAUGUGAGUUAGUAAAAUAAGUUUCGAUUGUCAAAAAUAAAUUCAGUUGCGACAUAUAGCCAGCAAGUUUUCAAUCACAUAUGCAUAGCCACCCUUUAUAACUAAUAUACACUGUACACAAAACUAAAA